UGGGGAAUAUUGCACAAUGGGCGAAAGCCUGAUGCAGCAACGCCGCGUGAGUGAUGAAGGCCUUCGGGUUGUAAAGCUCUGUCUUUUGGGACGAUAAUGACGGUACCAAAGGAGGAAGCCACGGCUAACUACGUGCCAGCAGCCGCGGUAAUACGUAGGUGGCAAGCGUUGUCCGGAUUUACUGGGCGUAAAGGAUGCGUAGGCGGAUUUUUAAGUGAGAUGUGAAAUACCCGGGCUUAACUUGGGUGCUGCAUUUCAAACUGGGAAUCUAGAGUGCGGGAGAGGAGAAUGGAAUUCCUAGUGUAGCGGUGAAAUGCGUAGAGAUUAGGAAGAACACCAGUGGCGAAGGCGAUUCUCUGGACCGUAACUGAUGCUGAGGCAUGAAAGCGUGGGUAGCAAACAGGAUUAGAUACCCUGGUAGUCCACGCCGUAAACGAUGAGUACUAGGUGUAGGAGGUAUCGACCCCUUCUGUGCCGCAGUUAACACAAUAAGUACUCCGCCUGGGAAGUACGAUCGCAAGAUUAAAACUUUAAAUGAAUUGACGGGGGUCAUAGCUGUUUUCCU
Molecule: ribosomal RNA, 565 nt
Filed under: uncultured bacterium
Lineage: Bacteria
Description: partial 16S ribosomal RNA
Rfam family: Bacterial small subunit ribosomal RNA
Source: RNAcentral